RNAcentral lists this ribosomal RNA (351 nucleotides) under uncultured bacterium. RNAcentral's name for it is "partial 16S ribosomal RNA". It matches the Rfam family "Bacterial small subunit ribosomal RNA", at positions 338 to 681 of the family's 1533-position model. The record is from RNAcentral.
CCUACGGGUGGCAGCAGUGGGGAAUAUUGCGCAAUGGGCGAAAGCCUGACGCAGCGACGCCGCGUGAGGGAUGAAGGUCUUCGGAUCGUAAACCUCUGUCAGCAGGGAAGAACGGUCACUGGGCUAAUCAGCAGUGAAUUGACGGUACCUGCAAAGGAAGCACCGGCUAACUACGUGCCAGCAGCCGCGGUAAUACGGAGGGGGCGAGCGUUACUCGGAAUUACUGGGCGGAAAGCGCUCGUAGGCGGUCUGUCAAGUCAAGGGUGAAAUCCCCGCGCUUAACGUGGGAACUGCCUUUGAAACUGGCAAACUGGAGUGUGUCAGAGGAUAGUGGAAUUCCAGGUGUAGUAG